Molecule: long non-coding RNA, 880 nt
Filed under: Mytilus galloprovincialis (Mediterranean mussel)
Lineage: Eukaryota; Metazoa; Mollusca; Bivalvia; Mytilida; Mytilidae
Source: RNAcentral
UCGUGAAAACAAAUUUUUAUUGUAGAAAGUUGGAAUUUAUUUCCAAUAAGUGUUAAAGUUAAUAAAAAAUUCUCUGAAGAAGAAUUCUUUUCUCAGAAACAAAGGAAAUUUAAAUAAAAUUGUCUAUAUAAACAAUUUAAGGAUUUUAGAUGUAAAGGAAGAAUUUGUGUAUUUUACCAGAAAUAUUGAUAAAAUUAUUUAAUAAACGGUAAAGGGCUCAAUUUUAUAUUUUAUUACACUAUAAAACUUUGUAUAGUAUGUAUAUAUAUGUAUUGUAAGUGAGUAGUGGCAGGUUUACAUACAAUGUCCAUAGCAACUACAAAUAAUUCCUGAAAAACUAACGAAACAAUCACCUUAUUAGUAAUGAUCAUCAACCAUGUAUAUUUUAGCCAUUGUGAUUUUCUGUAUUUUAUAUGACCAAUUUCUUUAUUUUUUUACCAGCCAAAAAUGUCAAUUUCUUUCUGAAACUCAGUGAAUGCAGAAGGAGAACAAAUUUGAAAUUUGUCCCUUUUUCAAUUUUUCAACAAUAAAUGUUGAUUGUUUUUUGUGACUCAACAGACAUUAAGAAUUACAAUUUAGUUAUGAACUCUUCAUUUUGUUGUUAUUUUCAAUAAAAUUUAAGCAAUAAUACACCAAAACUUGAUGGAAAGGAGAGAACCUUCUUAUAGUCUUGCAAUGUCAUUUUUCAUUUGUAAAGUUCAAAAAUGCAUUUAUUAUAAAUAUAUGUGAAAGAUAAAUCUGUAGUCAAUUGUACUAGCACAAUUUAUGUAUAUAAAUACUGCACUUGUGUUUAUUUACCAUAUUUUCUUUAAAUAGCCAAAUUAUAGAACCAAUACCAUGUAUUUUAUCUUUUAAAAUAAUGUAACAGUUUAUUUGAUUU